CGAGAGAAAUGGAAAAAGCGAUUCGAUAUUGUUCGGUGUUUAUUCCGCUACGAUUUAAUUCCGGCAUUUAAAGCCCUAUUACUCGACAACCGAUUUCUAUCUCAUCGCAGCCAUUCCUCGCCAUUAGUCAUCCCGGAGAUCUUAAAACGUAAUUGCUAUCUUGCACCAUUUAUUUUUGUUUGAGCAUCAAGGCAACAGAUUCUUCGAGAUUAUACUUUUCCAAAGUAUUAUUCGCACCGUGUUGUAACAUUGGUCUCUAAAUUACAGACAGUUCGUAUAAUUGCAACAUAUACAUAUAAAAGUAAGUCGUGUAUUUCUCCUAAUUAACUGGAAAAUUAUUUCUCAGAGAUCUGCCAACGAAUCUCGCCAUUCUCAUUUCUUUUUCUCUUUUAUUUUAAACUAGGCUUCGCGCAUCGAGGAACAUCUCUUUACAUAUACUUACAACAUCAGACAGUCCGCAGAAGCCAGAUUCCAUUUAUUUGGAAGCGGCUGAUGAAGUUAGCUGGAGCUCCGCUCGAUCGUAACAAAAGCGGUCGCGUUAACGAAGCGCGAACAGGGCGGCUCGCGCUCGUAGCUUCGCUGCACCGUCUCGCUACCAGACCUCUUGUCGAGGUAAAAUUAGAGGUGGACCGCUGCGGCAAUUAUUAAAAUAGAAGAGUGACCGGUAGAACUUCGAGUGGAAGACUGACUCAUCCCGCUCGAAAAUGCAUAGAGCGCACGCGAGGUGGAAAAGCACGAGAUCUAUUUGUCGACUAAACUAGCAGCAGAAGCAGCAGCUGGACCCGAUCGAGGGAUUCGCGCGAUUCUCGGGGUCAUUGCCACUGCUCGAGCCGACGUCAAGUCUCCAUUGGUUAUUGUUGACUUUGGCCCUGGAAUCCGGCGAAACAAAUCACCGCAAAGUCAGCGCGGUGUACCGGUUAUCAGUUUCAUCUGAUUCCGAACGCAACUGUGUACGACGUGACUAGAAUUUAAGGAUGUCGGUAUACGUAUGUCCAUCGCGAGCGAAGCAUCGCGUCAUUCUCAAGGCAAACACGCCUUGCUCUUGCGAGUAAUGGAAGGGGCCAGAGGCCGAAGGAGAAGGAGAAGAACCAGUCGUGAACCAGAACCGUCGGUCCUCAGAAUCUCCCAGUCACCUCUUCGAGUCUGUACGGGGACCAGCGCGUGGAUUUGUCUCGAUCGUGUACACCUCGACAUUUUCCCGCUCCCGGUGCGCAACCACGAUCGCGUGGAUCGAUCGAUCCAGGAUGACGACGGGGAUACACGUCGAGGACGCGGACGAUUGACAGGUCGGUGAGUCGAUUUUCGAGCCGCGCAAAAAGCGUUCGACAAGCGCUGUCCCACUGCAAACCUUCGUGACAUCGUACCGAAAAACCGGUAACGAA
This is a long non-coding RNA of Bombus impatiens (common eastern bumble bee), 1382 nucleotides long. RefSeq lists it as uncharacterized. The transcript is spliced from 3 exons. The record is from RefSeq and is a predicted model, not a curated record. Lineage: Eukaryota; Metazoa; Arthropoda; Insecta; Hymenoptera; Apidae.